Molecule: ribosomal RNA, 123 nt
Filed under: Xylanimonas cellulosilytica
Lineage: Bacteria; Bacillati; Actinomycetota; Actinomycetes; Micrococcales; Promicromonosporaceae
Source: RNAcentral
GUCUCGGUGGUCAUAGCGGGGGAGCCACGCCCGGCCCCAUUCCGAACCCGGAAGCUAAGACCCCCAGCGCCGAUGGUACUGCACCCGCCAGGGUGUGGGAGAGUAGGACACCGCCGAGCACAC